This 484-nucleotide ribosomal RNA is filed under the name uncultured bacterium. RNAcentral's name for it is "partial 16S ribosomal RNA". It matches the Rfam family "Bacterial small subunit ribosomal RNA", at positions 28 to 507 of the family's 1533-position model. The record is from RNAcentral.
AUUGAACGCUGGCGGCAUGCUUUACACAUGCAAGUCGAACGGCAGCGCGGGCUUCGGCCUGGCGGCGAGUGGCGAACGGGUGAGUAAUGCAUCGGAACGUGCCCAGUCGUGGGGGAUAGCCCGGCGAAAGCCGGAUUAAUACCGCAUACGACCUGAGGGUGAAAGCGGGGGACCGAAAGGCCUCGCGCUAUUGGAGCGGCCGAUGUCGGGUUAGCUAGUUGGUGUGGUAAAGGCUUACCAAGGCGACGAUCCGUAGCUGGUCUGAGAGGACGACCAGCCACACUGGGACUGAGACACGGCCCAGACUCCUACGGGAGGCAGCAGUGGGGAAUUUUGGACAAUGGGGGCAACCCUGAUCCAGCCAUGCCGCGUGCGAGAAGAAGGCCUUCGGGUUGUAAACCGCUUUUGUUCGGGAAGAAAUCCUCUGGGCUAAUACCCCGGGGGGAUGACGGUACCGGAAGAAUAAGCACCGGCUAACUACGUG